AAGGGACUGACCUCUGGGUCCCUUCGGUGCUCCGGGCUCGCCCUCCGUCUGACCCCGGCGGCCCAGGUGGAUCGCCCCCAUUGACAUAGAUUCGUUCCAGGGGCCCGGGGUUUGGCUACCCCUCCUCUGUUCCGGGCCAGCUUGGGGAGAGAUAAGCCUCCUAGAAGCCUUUGUUCUAGCUCCCAGCUGGGUAAACCGGCAGCGGCCUCAGUUAUUGCCACCUUUGCCGUCCUCCCUCCCCCUCCCGCGCACACAUACAUUCUGUCCCCGGGUUCCCAGUACCCCCUCCCACACUUCUUCAGUUACCCCCUUCCUCGCCCUCCCCCCACUCUCCAGCUGAGACGACCUCGGAGAGUGCACCCUUUGUCCUUCUCCGUCUCCGGACGGGACAUUUUUUAUAUUCUAGCCUCCGAUGUGGACUCGAGCCCCGAGAUUGUGUUGGCCGUCAGAUAUAUUCUAGGGAUCCUGGAAAGAAAGGAGGAAGCGACAAAGAUCCCUCUAGUGGAAUCCAAAGCUACACUUCCUCGACAAAGACGAAAUAAAACUCACUCAGGAAUCGCUGAGUUGGGUCACUCUCCUCCAGCAGCCGAGUAACUGCCAGCUCGGGAUCAGUACAACUCCCGGAUUCCAUAUUACCUCAAAGCACCUUUGGACCCUGAGGCCAGUGUAAGUAAGAGUGCUUCUUCCCCAGCCCUUUCUCACAUCUCUCUCCCAAUACCCCUCCUCUCCUGGAUCCUAGAUGGAUCCUCUCUAGUUUUGGUUGCGAUUGGUUUUCUGGAAGGAGCGAGGGGUCAUAAUGAGCUGCUGGAGAAGAUAUUAAUCUCACCCCAACCCUGUAGGUAGAUGAGUCUUUG
Molecule: long non-coding RNA, 854 nt
Filed under: Monodelphis domestica (gray short-tailed opossum)
Lineage: Eukaryota; Metazoa; Chordata; Mammalia; Didelphimorphia; Didelphidae
Description: lncRNA (ENSMODG00000033612.2)
Source: RNAcentral